UGGGACAGCUUUCAGGCCAGCUGGGAGCAGGCAUGGGACCCUGGUGCCGUCGGCCUCCCAAAAGAAUCUUGGUGGCAGGGCUGACAUCGGAAGAGAGACCAGCAUUUCUGGAGCCAAGGGCCGUGGAGAGGAGUGGCUGGCAGGCCACGUAGGCUGGCCCUUUUGCUUGGCACAAGCAGGACUUCCCAGGCCAUCCAAGCCACUCUUCAGCCCCUGCUUCCAGUCCAGAAGCAAUGAGUGGUUCCUUCACCGUGAACCCCAUCCAUUUAGGAACAACUAAUGUGGUCAUAAGGCUCUCAGCUAGGGAAAACCAGAUAUCCACAAUGAAACUAGACCCCUAUGUUGCACCGCAUUAAAAAAUAAUAAUAAAUUAGAAUGGAUCAAAGGCCUAGGUGUGAACCCUGAAACCAUUAGAAAGCAGAGGACAUCACAGUGGCACGUGCCUGAAACCCCAGCUACUAAGAAGACUGAGGCAGAAGGAUGCUAAGUUAGGAAAUCAUCUCAAAAAUAAAUUGGUCAGGGAUAUAAUUCAGGCCAGGAGAAAUACUUCACAAUGUGUUUAGGCAAUAUUUUUUUUGUUUGUUUUUGUUUUUUUGGGGGGGGGAUUAGAUCCUCAAAACAGGCAAAAGUGGUAUUAUGUCAAACUAAGAUGCUUCUGCAAAGCAAAGGAAAUGAAUGAAGAGACAACCUGCAAAAUGUGAGAAAAUAUUUGCAAACUAUUUGAGAAUUUAGUAUCCAGAGUAUAUAAAGAACUCAAAAUCACAACAGCAAAUAACCCAGCAAAAAGAUGAGCAAAUGACCCGAACAGACAUUUCACAAAAGCAGAUUUACAUAUGAAAAAAAUGCUCAACAUCACUAAUCAUCAGGGCAAUGUAAAUCAAAACCAUAGUGAGAGAUCUCCCUCCAGUUAGAAUGGUGAUAAUAAAAAAGAAAAAAGUUAAAUGUUUUCAAGGAUGUUGAGAAAGGAAAACUUACACUGUUGGUGGGAAUGUAAAUUAAUACAACCAUUAUAGAAAAUGACAUGGGAGUCCCUCAAAGAGCUGAAAAUAGAACUUCCAUAAAAUCCAGCCAUCCCACUACAGGUAUCCAUCCAGAAGAAAUCAGUAUGUCAAAGUUAUAACACAUCCUCAUGUUUACUGCAGUACGACUCAUGAUAGCCAAGAAAUGGAAUCAGGAGUUGUCUAAGAACAGAUGAAUGCAUAAGGAAAAUGACAUAAAUACACAAUUGUUAUUCGGCCAUAGAAAAGAAUGAAAUCUGUCCCAAUGUGGAUAGAACUGAAGGACAUUACAUUUGUGAAAUAAGCCAGACACAGAAAGACAGAGACCUCAUGUUCUCAUGUGGAAACUAGAAAAAUUGGCUUCAUGGAACAGAGUAGAAUAGUGUCCAUACAGACUAGGGUGGGGGGGGGGUAGGGAGAAGGGGAGCCAGAGGGAGGUCUGAUAAUAGGACCAAAAUGCAGUUAGAUAGGUGGAAUACAUUCUAGUGCUCUACAAUACAGUAGGUGACAAUAGUUUACAACAGUUUAUUAAAUAUUUUAUAAAGAACUAGAAGAGAGGAGUUUGAGGAUUCCCAAUACAAAUAAACAAUAAAUGUUUAGGGAGAUAAAAAUGCCAAUUACUCUGAUUUGAUCAUUGCAAAUAGUAUUUGUGUAUGUAUUUAUCACAUUCCAUAAAUAUGCAUGAUUAUUGUUUCAAUUAAAAAUUUAAAAGGGGGAAGAUGUUCUUUGCUGAUGAAACUAUUUUAGAACAGUUUGCUAAAACACAUUUCUUAGAAUAAAUGGAAUAAAUACUAUAUUAUCUAUAUACGUGUAUAUGUGGAAGUCCCGUUCCACAUACAGGACUUUGCGAUUGUAUUUAAUCUACAGAUCAGUUUGGGGAGAAUUGACAUCUAUGAUACAUUGAAUUUUCCAAUUACUGGCUUGAUCUUUCAUUUGUUUAGUCUUUCUUAAAUUUCCCUCAAUUACUAUAUCUAUAUACAUGUAUAUAGAUAUAGUAAUCUAGAUAGCAAUACUAUAACAUUUUGCAGGGGGGCAUGCAGUAGUACAAUUUGAUGAUCUCCAAUCUUUUAACCACUGUGUGGAAUUUCAUUGUAUGUAUCAUUAAAGUUCUAACCAUUUGUUAACAUAAAUAUUUAGGUUGUCUCUGAAUAUUUUCUAUUUUAGAAAUAUUGUAAUGAACAUCCAUGAGUAUGUGUAUAGAAGUAUUUGGAUUGAAAUUGUUGACUCCAGUGUCAUUUACAUUGUAAUUUUUUAUAGGAAAAUUUUAAAUGGCUCUUCAAACUGAUUGAGACAAUAAAUACUGUAUGGCAAGGACCUUUCUCCAGUUUUGCCAACAGUGAUAAUCACUUUUCAAUGAAUGCUUUGGUGAAUACAAUGAAUACAGUUUUACUUAACCUUUAAAUGUUCUAUUUAGCACAAAAACUGUGUGUGUGUGUGUGUGUAUUUUGCUGGGGAUUGGACCCAGGGCCUUGUGCAUGUGAGGAAAGCCCUCUACCAACUGAACUAUGUCCCCAGCCCACAAAAAUGGCUUCUUUGAGAAUCCAGCACCUCUAAUUGUAUCAGGCACCUUGUGACACUCAAUGUAUCUGUCAUGGGGCUGAGGCUGUGGCUCAG
Molecule: long non-coding RNA, 2612 nt
Filed under: Marmota monax (woodchuck)
Lineage: Eukaryota; Metazoa; Chordata; Mammalia; Rodentia; Sciuridae
Source: RNAcentral